This 85-nucleotide non-coding RNA is filed under the name Clostridium puniceum. RNAcentral's name for it is "Glycine sequence". It matches the Rfam family "Glycine riboswitch aptamer". From Rfam's summary of the family: This family represents the bacterial glycine riboswitch. Lineage: Bacteria; Bacillati; Bacillota; Clostridia; Eubacteriales; Clostridiaceae. The record is from Rfam by way of RNAcentral.
AUGACGAAUUUGGGAGAGACUGCAAAUAGCAGCGCCGAAGGUGAAACCGCAACAAACUCUCAGGCAAAAGGACCGAAUUCUGACG